GGGGGUGAAACUGGCUUCGACGGGGAUUUGGAGCCUUUAGUAGCGAGCAGUUGUGAGAAGCAACUUUAAAAGUCUCAAAAAAAAUAAACGAUAACGAAAAUUACGCGUUAGCAGCCUAAGCGGCUGUCAUCUUAUAUUGAAUCCCCACGCUCUUUAUAAGGUGUCAAAUUAGUGGGACACGAAAUCUCGUAAGUUCGUCAUAGCGAGACGGGUACUCAUGACGAUAUAGUUUGAAAAUCGUGUAAGUUCGAGUUUUAAGCUGAAUUAAAAAAACUCUACUGCGCUCGGAGAAGCUAAUUGUGAAGAGUUUUCGGACGCGGGUUCAACUCCCGCCACCUCCACCA
This 344-nucleotide transfer-messenger RNA is filed under the name Peptoniphilus sp. It matches the Rfam family "transfer-messenger RNA". From Rfam's summary of the family: Bacterial tmRNA, also known as 10Sa RNA or SsrA, is named for its dual tRNA and mRNA-like properties. Lineage: Bacteria; Bacillati; Bacillota; Tissierellia; Tissierellales; Peptoniphilaceae. The record is from RNAcentral.